RNAcentral lists this unclassified non-coding RNA (389 nucleotides) under soil metagenome. Its description in RNAcentral is "partial contains 5.8S ribosomal RNA, internal transcribed spacer 2, and large subunit ribosomal RNA". The stretch from base 1 to 122 matches the Rfam family "5.8S ribosomal RNA", at positions 35 to 154 of the family's 154-position model. The record is from RNAcentral.
GAUGAAGAACGCAGCGAAAUGCGAUACUUGGUGUGAAUUGCAGAAUCCCGUGAACCAUCGAGUCUUUGAACGCAAGUUGCGCCCGAAGCCAUUAGGCCGAGGGCACGCCUGCCUGGGCGUCACACGUCGUUGCCCCCCCAUCUACUCCUUCGGGAUUGCGGGGGGCGGAUGAUGGCCUCCCGUGCGCCACGCCGCGCGGUUGGCAUAAAUGCCAAGUCCUCGGCGACGCACGCCACGACAAUCGGUGGUUGCGAAACCUCGGUUGCCCGUCGUGUGCGGUCGUCGCGCAUCGAGGGCUCGAAAAAAUUGCCGGGUUCCGGCUCGGCUUUCAACGCGACCCCAGGUCAGGCGGGGUUACCCGCUGAAUUUAAGCAUAUCAAAGCGGAGGA